GUUGCCGGUCACUCGGCUCCUCUCAAAUGCAUUAGCUGGAACCUUAUGUGUAUCUCCGGUGUGAUAAUAUCUACUCCGUCUGAUCACAAAGUCAAAGUCGCUUGCGACCAAGACCGUUAGGAUCUGCUUCUAAUCGUCCCGUACAAGGACAAUCAUUGACAUCUGACCUCAAAUCAGGUAGGACUACCCGCUGAACUUAA
Molecule: unclassified non-coding RNA, 200 nt
Filed under: soil metagenome
Description: partial contains internal transcribed spacer 2 and large subunit ribosomal RNA
Source: RNAcentral